This is a long non-coding RNA of Octopus sinensis (East Asian common octopus), 116 nucleotides long. RefSeq lists it as uncharacterized. NCBI's taxonomy places the organism in Eukaryota, Metazoa, Mollusca, Cephalopoda, Octopoda, Octopodidae. The transcript has 3 exons. The record is from RefSeq and is a predicted model, not a curated record.
CCAUGCUGGCAUAUGUUGGAUGAUUUGACAGGAUCCAAUAGGUCCAAGGAUUGCAUUGUGUUCCAAUGUCUGAUUUGGCAUGGUUUCUACAGCUGGAUGUCCUUCCUAAUGCCAAC